Molecule: long non-coding RNA, 5322 nt
Organism: Leopardus geoffroyi (Geoffroy's cat)
Lineage: Eukaryota; Metazoa; Chordata; Mammalia; Carnivora; Felidae
Exons: 2
Source: RefSeq, a predicted model, not a curated record
GCUGGCUCUAAAUCUGUGUACCUUCUUCACUCUGGAGCUCAGCGCAAUCUGAGCAUUGGGACAGACUCUCUGUGGGAGUUGGUAGAAGUUCAUCACUCAACCCUGUGCUUAUAGACCAUAAAUGUUCCAGGAAAACAUCACAGAGCACACUGGGCCUGUUGGCUCAAUGGCCCCAGACUCUCAGUCAGUCCUCUUUGACUGACUAUAAGUGAAAUAAUCUGGAUUCUAAAACACAAUGCCUUUGCAAUCCAAUGGAUCACUAAACAAUUUAUAUGACGACGUUGACUCAGCUUCUAAAGUUGGUCGGUGAAUACCAGGAGCGGUGUGCUGACUUACAAUUGGAAGACAGACCUAGCUUUACUUCAUGUUUGUUUUGUGUAAGAUAGCUAACCAAAAGAACUACCAACGUUGGCAUGUGAAUACGAAAUGGAUAUUUAUAUCACAAUUCACUUAUAAAUGACAAAUUUGUGAGAACAGGGAGGCUUAUAAUGAUUGAUCUCCCCAUGUGCGCAUGGCUCUGUAAUGUUACAAAACUGACAUGGUUUUCCAAAGAAAAGCAUGUUUUCCUUCUACUGAGUAGAUCCCUCAGAUUCUGCUCUCAUUUAUGCACUAUGGGCAUCAGCAGGGAAUCUGGCAGAGAGACUCUCUGCUAUUAAUGAUUUUGGACCAGGAAGUUUCCUUGAAAUUCUUAUUGGCACUACAAAUAUCAUCUUCACUUAAUGUCUUGAGUUUAUAGGACUUGUUGGAUUUGCAAUGGCUCAUUUUAAUUUGCAGUUCUAGAUGAUUUCCAUGGAUCAUCAUCAAAAACUGUGUAUUAAAACUCUGUUACUUAACUCUAUCUAUUACCUAAUAUGGAUUAGAAGCCUUCCAAUGAGGUAGAAUGAAUUGGCUAUGGAUCUAUUUCUGCAUCUGAACUUAAGCACUGAACUCCGGUAAUGCCAGCAGCUCGUCACUGCCCUUGUCUUUGUUACCUGCCCUUCCCCCAGUGAUCACAUAGACAAAUGUAGCUUGAGCCCCCUCCCCCUUCCUGUCCAUCUGCCACAUAUUCACUUUUCACCAGCACUUAAUUCUCUAUCAAAAUAUUUUUCCAGGAUGAGAAAAGAACCAACUUCCAGGCAAAAGAAAAAAAGUGAUUCUAGUUAAUGACUUCCAGAUAAGAAUUUGCUUAUUUUCCUAAUGGCCUACUGUGUCUUGCUAAGCUAUCAUGUCACAAACAGAAUAGAUAACUUUAAUGGGAGAACUGCCUAAGGAUCUUGGGACAUAGCCACAGCCCCUUUGUCUACAUAAAAUAUUUUUUUAAAAUAAAUAAAUUAAUGGGAGCUGCAAACAAGUGGAAUCUAAGAAUAAUAUAACUAAGUCUUCGGGCAAAAUAUGUUUACAACAUGUGAAAUUAAUAAACAUAAAAUCUCUAGAGACUAAAUGCAUCAUUUUUCAUCUAUCAUGAGAAAACAUUUUCUGUACAUGGGAGACAGUGUGGAAAAAGGUGACUGUGGUGAGAACGCGUUUGUUCCCUCGAAGGCAAGAUGGAGAAUUCCAGUCUUGCAUUGUGCCACGCACGCAUCCCCCCGCUGUUUUCUGCCAUAAUUACCUGAGACCCAUCACCCAGCGCAGCCACUAAUAUGAAACCCCUGCUCAACAGAAUGUAAGGACUACACAAACAGUAAUGAUGGUCUUUAGCUCACCACAGUGGGCUGACCACAUCAAACGUGAAUGAAUAGUUGGUUUCCAGAAUACUGUCAAAUAACAGAAAACCAUCUGUUGCUGAAAAUAACAUUGGGUGGUGGAAAAAGAGAUCCCCAAAUUGUUUUUUCCCUCAUAAUAAUAAAUGAAAUACAGUAAAACUAUUAAUAAAAACACAAUAGCAGACCGGAGCUAUUAUUUAAGAAAAACAUUUCAGUAUGUUUUAUUAUAGUUAACAGUUACAGAGAGGAAAAGUAAAAAUUUGGGCAGAACUGUGGUUACCAUUUUCAGAACUACGCUAACAUGGAGAGUACCUCACCUGCCUCCAGGAAAACACUUCCUUUUUGCCUGUUUUUCUCAAUCUGUAAAUGAUGCCCAAAGGGGAUCUCUUUAAAGAGAUACUGGGUUUAAUGUUUGUAACGUGGUUUUUUGCCCCGAAGUUAAAAAAAAAAAAAAAAAGUAAAGUACAAAGUAUUAUUAUAGCAUUUGUGGCAUUUAAACCUGUAAUUAAAGUGACCAAAUAUUUUCCAUACCCCCCCCCCUUACAUUCAGUUCUUUACAAAUUUUUUGCAAGUUCAUAAUUUGAAGCUAAAACUUUCCCCAUUCUAUUCAUUAGUAGCUUGGAAUCACUUAAAAAUUAUUCAAACAAGUUUAUGUUUUGGUGAUCUGUCUUGGAUAAUUUGAAAGCCACUGAUGUUUCUAUGUAAAGCAAAAAUAAUUCGGUAUUUUGGAUUAGACCUUAAAAUGAAAUGUAGCAUGCAGGACACCAAAGGGAGCUUAAAUUCAGUUGGGAAAUAAUAGUUUAAUGAUAAUAAUAUCAUUCAUAGAUUAAAACCAUGAUGUAAACAUGUUCUGUUGCAAAUUUUGCUUUGGAGAUGCAUUAUUGAUACUUGGAUCAGUUCCUCCUCUCUCAUUUGACUUAUUACCUCAUCAACUGGUUGUUUGAAUGCUGUACAGAAACCUAGAAUAUAAUAAUUGUUUUCAUAUUUUGAGAAAGAUUAUAUUUCUAGAAACAAGAUAGACUCCAAAAUUUUCCCUUACAUUAUGCUUCUUCAUCGUUUAAGAAAAACAGUAAGCAUGUAAACUUUUAAGAUGAAUUAUGAUCUUAUAAACAUAUACUGUAACAAAAUUCCAUCAGAGAUUAAUGAUAAUAUUUUAGUUUUUGCUCUCUAACACUUAAGCAAUAGAUAUUAUGAGCGGGGGUACAGGAUGAGGGCGGAGAGGAGGAAGGUGAAUAAUCCUUUCAACUUUAGGUAUUACAUAUACAUUUCUUUUAUAUUUGUUUCAAAUCCGGUAACCAGAAAGUGCAACUGGCCAGGCUGUUCAUUCUAUGUUGUCAAUAAAAGGAACCAGCGGAUGGAGACUUGUUUUUUUCAUUCUCAGAGGUUUGGUAAAGAUACUGCAUAUUUUGCACACUUAAGAGCACAGAUCAGCAUAUGUUUUUUUGAGAAUAUUCCAUGUUCCACUGGAUCAGGCAAAAGCAGCACCAAAGAAUUAGACACAGAGAGUUAUUUCAAGGAACUGAGAGAAACAGAAAGUAAUUUCAAUACAGCGUGUUGAAUGAUACCUUGAAAGUAAAUUUUCAGGGUUUGGGCAGUAGCUGGAGGAGAAAGUUGUAAUAGCCCUGGACAGUCGGCAAGGACAGUUUAGAGGAUGGUGAGCUACCUCAGAUCUUUUCCAGUGAGUCUCCAAAUGCUCUGGAAUUUAAUGAGAUCCUUGUUUCUCAUAGUAUGGUCCAGGGACUGGCAUCAUUGCAUUUCCUGGAAGCUUGCUGAUAUACAGAAUUUAGGGCCCCAAUCCAGACCUCCUAUAUUUUAGAGAUUACUAGGCAAUUCAUGUGUACAUUAAGUUUGAGACGCAUUAUCCUAGAUUCUGUCUUCUUAAUAACCUUCAAACCCAGCUGAAAACAGGCAUUUGUAUUUCCUUCUAUGUUUGAAUUUUGGGAAGACACCUCUCAAAGAGCGCCUCCAGUUCAUGCAAAGUGUCUCAAGCGGAAAGAAUGGGCCCAAGAUAACCCUUGAUUCUAAUUCCCCACAGCCUCCUCGUGAGUAAAAUGGUUCACAAGUUCCUGUUUGCCAAGGGCACGUGAAAGAGAUAAUAAGAGGCCUGGGGAUCUGAAGCUGGAAAGGAUCAAGAGGGCAGCUCGUGGAACAGAGGCCCCUUCUAUCUCAGUCUUAGAAAUUUCUCCCUGUGCUCAGACACCCUCCAGGAAGAGGUGAGGAAGAAGGGUGAUGUGGAAUGGGAGAAUUAGCACUGGGCAGAGUCUUUGAUUUAGCCAGCUCAUCUGAAAAGACCAAGUUUUAACCAGAAGAAACUGGUUUGCCUUGCAGGGUGAAGUUUAUAAGGUUGUUCUCUAUUAGCAGAUAAGGACUAGGAGCAAAAAUAAUUCUUUUAUGCAAGAUAAAACUGUACUUUUGUACAGCUGAUUAAUAAUAUGACCAUUUUAAACCACAAUAUAAACAAGAGAGAUCUUUGCUUAAAAUCCUUUAGUGACUUCUUAUGGCUACGGAAUUUUAACUUGGCACACAUCAUUUUAUUUGGUUCUUGCCUUCCUCUCUAACAUCACUUCCUAAAACCAGCAAUGGAGACUGGAAAAAAAAAAGUGUUAUAGAAACAGAAGGAAAUUUCAAUGCAAGUUCUAGGCCAGUUAGACCUCUUGGCAUGUGUGUGUAUAUGUAUGUGUCUGUCAGUUUGUCUGGCCGUAAUACAUAUGACAUUACUCCUUUACCAGUUAACCCUGACAAAAAUAACAUUGCAUUAAAAAAUCAUCCCCAAACUGAACAGGAGGGAAAAUAGCCAAAUAUACAACUGGCAUCAGAAUCAUAUGAACAAUUUGUUACAAAUUCAAAUUCUUGAAACAAAAUUGGCUUAAAACACUAAACUGCUUGUACUCAUUGAUCUGCACAUUGGCUGAACGUUUUCAAAGCUGGGCUUGUUUGGGUGGUUCCACUGGUCAUAAUUGGACCCACUCCGGCUUCUGAAGCCAGCUUGGUUAGGCCAGCGGUUGUUCCACCCCACGGUUGAUAUCCUCCUCAGGAGACCAGAGGCUAGCCUAAGCUGCCCUUCUCACUGUGCUGCCAGAAGUUCUAAUCUACAGAGCCCAUCAGGAGACAGAUUAUAAACCUGCUUAUGUCAUUGAUGCCAACAUCUCCCUGACCAGAGAUAGUCACAGGAAAACACCCUUUGUCAAGGAGUGGGAAAGUCUGCUCCUCCAAUUAUAGAAAAGCACUGCCAAAGUUACAGUCCAAAGAAUAUGGAUGGAUAAUUCAAUAACUAUGGAUGGAACAAAGAACAAAAAAAGUAAUCCACUUCGACACAAAUCUCCUCUUAAAAAUAACCGACACCACAUCAUAAGGAUCUAGCGAUUAGUAACAAUUAGCGAUGCAAAUCUAGCCCAGUGGUGGUUAAUCUCUCCACAAUAUGUUCCCAUGAUCAAAUCCUGUUUUGAUUUUCCUAUCUUUUAGAAAAAGUUAUGUAUAAUUAUAAAAUUAAUCACCAAAUUAUGUUUAAUAAUUUACACAUUUAUAAAUUCAAUUGUAUUACUUUCAUGUUCUAGAGAGGGGUCAAUAAACUAUAUAGCCUGCAGGUCGAAUCUUGCCAACCAUCUGAUUUUGUAAAUAAAGUUUUAUUGGAUCACAACUA